GGAGAGUUAUCGAAGUGGUCAUAACGGGGCGCACUCGAAAUGCGUUUGCUCUUCGGGGCACGAGGGUUCGAAUCCCUCACUCUCCG
This 86-nucleotide transfer RNA is filed under the name Lachnospiraceae bacterium. Its description in RNAcentral is "tRNA-Ser". It matches the Rfam family "tRNA". Rfam says of the family: Transfer RNA (tRNA) molecules are approximately 80 nucleotides in length. Lineage: Bacteria; Bacillati; Bacillota; Clostridia; Lachnospirales; Lachnospiraceae. RNAcentral also lists the same sequence under 1 other name. The record is from RNAcentral.